GCUGGGCGUGGUGACACAUGCCUGUAAUCCCAGCGGUUUGGGAGGCUGAGGCAGGAGGAAUGUGAGUUCAAAGCCAGCCUCAGCAAUUUACUGAGGCCCUAGGCAACUCAGUGAGACCCUGUCUCUG
This 127-nucleotide small RNA is filed under the name Marmota monax (woodchuck). Lineage: Eukaryota; Metazoa; Chordata; Mammalia; Rodentia; Sciuridae. The record is from RNAcentral.